RNAcentral lists this long non-coding RNA (6351 nucleotides) under Populus trichocarpa (black cottonwood). Its description in RNAcentral is "long non-coding RNA (PTRI_LNC002451)". The record is from RNAcentral. Lineage: Eukaryota; Viridiplantae; Streptophyta; Magnoliopsida; Malpighiales; Salicaceae.
CAAAACACCAUCAAGUUCCAUUUCAGUCAGCAUUCCAACUCCGACACAGACUUAAAACAGCGACAAUAUCAGCAAUGCAGUAAGGCAAGUAUUCUUUGUUGGUACUUUAUUGAAAACAUUUUUGCAAUAUCAGAAUUAAGGUUUAAAUGUAGAUUUAUAGCAUUUACCGAAGAUGAAACGAUCGAGACUCCUGUUAGGCAGGAAUUCAUAGACGAGAAGGCUUUCAGGUCCAGAACAACUGCACCCCAACAACCUGACCAGAUUUUUGUGUUCCACACUACUUAUCAUGUUUAGUUCAUUGUAGAAAUCCUUAGCUCUAUGUCUGUUGUUAAAGAAGAGCCUCUUCACUGCAAUCUCCCUUCCAUCAGGUAAAGCUCCCUGCAAUGAACAAAUAAAACUUAGACAAACCCUGGUCUAAUUUAGUUAUUAGAAGAAUUUGAUUAGUACUAACAUAUCAUAAUGAAACUAGUAGAGAACAACCUUGUAAACAGAUCCAAAUCCUCCUUGUCCAAGCUUGUUGGUGUCGUCAAAAGAUCCAGUAGCCUUCUCAAGUGUCGAGUACUUGAAGUUCAAGCUACUGUCAUUGAGGGUUCUGGCCACCUUUUGAGCCUCAUUAGAACCUGUAAGAUGAAGACACAAGCAUUCCAGAAGUCAAGGAAAAUGUCAAAGAUAACCAAUACUGUUAUAAGUCGUCAGAUUAUGAGCGUUAUAUAUUUUCUGAAGCAGAUAACACACGCAAAGGAAGUUUGUUACCUCUUCUUUUCUUCAUUAUAUAUCUGCGUUUCCAUAUAUGAACUCCUAUAGAUACUCCAAGUCCCAAAACCACCAGAGAGCUGAUAACUGAAACAACUAUUAUUACAAUGCUCCCUGCAGUUCAUUCAUCCAGAUGCAUGAAUCACGAGGCCAAGUUUAUUAGUGUAAGAACUUCAAAUAUAUAUGAACCGCAUUCAGUCAUAGCAACUUUGCAACACAAGAGAAUGCAAUUCCUUUACCUCUGGAACCUCCAUUCCCAAGUUCGUCGUUGAGAAAAUCUAUAUCCGAGUACCUCAUGAAACACCCAGUAUAUAGUGCUCUGCCCUCCGACCAUGGCAAACAUCCCAAUAUAGAUGCAGUGGCAUUCUCCAAGCAUGCCCUGCAAGAGCUUGCAUUUAAUGUCUUCCAGCAAUUAGCUAACACAUAAGCUGACUCAUUUGUGCCCGGAACUGUGAGCUGUACCCGUGCAUAACCUUGAUUAUUUGAUGCGCUAGUGACUGCUUGUGAGACAGCCUGCCUUGUCGAUUCCGCAAAGGUUGAAUUCUUACGCGUUGUAUUUCCACAAACAGCCUUAUCUCCAGGUCCUAGAUAUUCUUCAUAGAAACUAUAAUUCUCAGCUCGAAUGAAGCAACCAUCAAGGUGAAUGCGACCCCCAUUAUAAGGAUAGCAUUGUGGAAGAACCGUACGUGCCUCGGCAUAGCAUAGUACACAGUCAAGUAACGACAGGUCCCCAUAGCAUUGGGCAAGGCCAUAGUUAAUGUCAGGUCCAGAGCCUGAAACUGCAACUCCAAAGCCUGACGCACUCAUCUGUUCACUGAUGUUUUCCAUUGUGGCAACAAAAUUUGGCACGAAGAUAGUUGCGUUGUGAUCCAGUUGGCGUCCACACAUAACUUGGACCGUCUGGGAUCUAGGAUGUCCAACCACCACCCGUUCACGCAACAAAACAUACCCAAAAAAGCAGAAGAAAAUCCUUUGGUAAGGGAUCGAUUGGAUUGCUUUUGUCAUCUUUGGCUUCGAUUACAAGAUUGGCUGUGCAAGGUGGAUCAGGUCGUUAGAAAAUCUCAAGUCAUGACUAAGAUCAAAAAGGGGUAGCACGUCGAGAGUAAUGAAAACACAACAAAGACCAGAACUGUCAAAACUAUGGAUUGAGUAACCACUCGAGAAAGGGAAAUGGGCUGGGCAUAAAUAAGGCGUGGAGUUGUUGCCGGCUUUUUAUUUGUGGCACUCUCGAACAGAUUGCAGAUCAUGGGUUCCUUCAUUUUUCAAGUCAAAAAAAGUAGGUACUCUUUUGGUGCCAAACAGCCCAGAUGGAGUUUCCUGAUUUCACACCUGUUUUUCUCCACCAUUUUCACACGAUAUAUCUCACAAGGAAGGAAACAAGAUGAAAUGAGAAAAACCACCUCAGCCGUAAGUAUGCGUGUUGGGCAAGAUCCAAUGGUUACUAGCAACCCGAUGCUCAUCUUGAUUAAAGAAGAAUUUGCCGUCAAAUUCUUAAAUGAUCCAGAAGCAGUGUGGGGCAUUAAUUAUCCAAAAAGGCAAUGGACCCUUCCUGCACCCCAAGGCCAGCCCCACACUCUCUUGCAUCGCAUCCAUCCUCUUAAAUUUUUUAGCAAGACAUUAAGACGGUGACAGCUAGCCUACGCCUAAGCCCAGGCCUAUACAAAACUACUGAUAAAUCCUCGAACACGUGGUUGAGUAGUUUAUCCAUCUUUUUUUUGGUGAGAGGAACAGUGAAAAAACAUAAAAAUGUUCCUGAUUACACGAUUCUGAUCCAAUAUUCCAGCUUCGACAGCUAUGUCGGGCAGCCAAAUCAAAGUAAAAAGAACUGAAAGAAGGAACGACUACCUUUCUUACAAAAAACUAAAAUAAAAUGAUUCAUGUUAAUAUUGUUUUUCUUGAUCAUACUAGACUAGCAGGGCGAGAUGGGUUUCUAAUUAAAUUAAGCUUCCUUCCUAGCUACCUCUGCAACGUCAAGUUUUUUGUCUUUUUCUUUUUUUAAAGAAUUAUUAGUCUAUCAAAGAAAAUAAAAGAGAAAAAGACAAGAAAUUGUAUAUAUAGAUUUGCAUGCAUACAUACACACCUUAAUUAGUGUUGUGUAGAGCAGCUGAACUGAGAGAUCUUGUGCAAUAAUGGAGAAAGUCUUAGCUUUAUCUGUUUCUAACUUUACAACUGAAGAAGAUGAAGAAGAAGAAGAAUAUUAUUAUUAUCUAAGUAGUUGAAUACAAGAUUGCCAAGGUAGCGCGCUCAAGUCAAAGUGAAGAUACAAACGACACCAAUCUCUCUCUCUCUAUCUCUCUAAAAAUUCUAAAGGGAAGGAAGAAUAGUGAGAAGGAAGAAGGAGAACGAAAGUCGUUUCAAAAACCAAUAAAAAAAUAUGGCAGAAACGCGGUUCUACACUCUUCAACUCUGUCCUUUGACGGUAAGGAAUCCAAUAUAAAUUUCAGCCCUUUUUUUAUCUCAAUCUGGCAACUUGAGCUCUACAUUCAUAAUCUGAUCAAUUGAGCCCAGAUGGAUUCAAAUGUUACUCGAUUUCAAAGCAAUUGAUACUCACCAUAAAAAGUUAAAAACCAUGGCAAAUCAUUUCCCUUUCAAUUAUAGUCUAAUGGCAAUGAGAGCAGUGUUUUCAGGAGUAUAUAUAUUCUUACCAGAGAAUGGCUUUGGAAGACAAUAAUAUGUAUAGAUCGGAGUGCCUUGCUGGAUGAAUGGAUACAGAGGAAGGCACUACUUGUCUUGUCAUCCAUGAGAGCCUAGAAAUAAAAUUAACUGUUGAUUUCUAUUCUUGCAUUUAUAUUAUAUUUGUUUUUGUAUUUUAAAAAUGUUUUAAAAAAAAUUAAUUUUUUUUAUUUUUUUGUUUUAAAUUAAUAUUUUUAAUGUUUUUAAAUAAUUUUGAUGAGCUGAUAUCAAAAAUAAUUUUAAAAAAUAUUAUUUUGAUAUAUUUUUAAAUAAAAAAUAUUUUAAAAAAUAAUCACAACCAUAUUCUUAAAUAUAUUAAAUAAUAUUUAUGUAGUUCUAUUUAUUAAGGGUAGAAUAAUACUUUCAGUUUAAUCUAUAUAUACUUUAUUUGUAUUUAGGUUAAGACUAAGCAUUCAUAAUAUACAAAUUAUUUAGAAUUCUAAUAUUUUUUUUAUAUUUGAUCUUAAUUAUUUUAAUAUGGUAUCUGAGCUUGUUUUGAAAAUUCAUAAUAUACGUUAUGGGUUUCGAAAAUGCGGUGGAUAAGCGGAAGGCCUUGCAGGAGAUGUUUAGAGUACUGAGACCAGGUCCUAUCUUCUUCCCUCUUAUUUGAAUUAACAAAUCGUGACAUUUCUCACCCUUGUGUUGAUAUACAAGUUCUAAAGCAUCAGUCCUUGAUUUUAAUUGCAAAAUGAAGAGUGCUUUUCUGUCUUUUUUUUUUCUCUCCAUGUUUGUCGAUAUAAUGUGCUUGGACUCAGAGGAAUGAAAUCCGAUCCUUAGCAACGAAUGCUUUUGCAUUAAUAAUUGUCCUUUUAUCUAUGAUGAUUGAUAACUGUAGGCGGAAGAACUUGCUCUGGAAAUAGGAUUUUGUACUGCCAAACACUAUGAGAUUAGUGGGGGCCUAAUGGGGAAUGUAGUAGCCACGCGCUAGAUGAGGUUGGUUCUCAGUUUUUAACAGCAUGUUUUCAAAGUUUUUGUUUGGGAAGGACAUAUUAUAUAUAGGGGUGGAUGAUUUUUAUGUUUAGAAUGUUUACUGCAACUCAGGCAUUACAAAUGAUAAGCUAAAAGCCACCAACAAUCUGGCUCCAUGGAUGAUGAAUUUCCGUUGUAUUAUUUUUCGACGGGAGCUUCCUGCCCAAGAGCAUCCUUGAUGGAAGAGGAAAUGCAUGUCAACCCCUCAAUCAAGAAGUUUGUAUUCUUACAUGAUUUUUAUUUUCAAAAAGAUCUUAAAACUUGUAAUUCUAGUUUCCUCAGCUAGAUUUGUUUAUUUAAUCCUACAAAAUUUUCUAAAUCAGUCUGUAAAACUUUACACUGUCAUGCACUCUUGUCCAACUCCAUGAUGAUAUAGGAAUUGGCAUUACUGCACUCAAUCUCAUCUUUACAACUGUAUAAUUUAUUGACAACUUCUCAUAUGCCCAUCAUCAUAUUCUUUUUGCAAAUGCUUCUGACACGGUGCUUGAAUUAGUGGAACUGUGGCCUCAGAUGUUUGGCCAGUUUCAAUAAAUAGAAGCAGUAUGAUGCACUGUUCCUUUGUGAAAUAUACCUUUCAUCCGUCUUGAGGUUAUCUUGGGUGGAAGGAACUAUUUUCAAUGGUGGCAAUUGAUGCUGAAGUACCAGAAUUAAGGGGGUAACAUGGGUCCUCGCAUAUGUCAUUGAGUUCCAUGGUCAUUUCGUCUAUGAAAGGGGGAUUAGAGGGCCGAGGGAGAUGUUCCUCAGUUGUUAGCAUUUGUAGAGCCUUUGACAUUGUUGGUCGAAGUGAUGGGAUUUCUUGGGUGCACAGAAGGCCCACAUGCACUGCUCUCUUAACAUCAUUCAUAACAUUGUUAUCAUGGUGGUUAUGCAGCAUCAGAUUUGGGUCAUAAAGCUCCUCCACAGUUUCUGCCUGGAAUUUUUUCCACGUCUGUUUUCUCCAACAAAAGAGAGGAUUUAUGGAUAAGUUAAAAGACCGGCCUUUCUUAAAUACUUUUAAAUUAAAGACAACAAGGAAGUUUUAUGGAAAGCAUCUGAAACUUACUAGUAUGACUAGACUCUCCGUGUAUUCUGAGUUUUUGCUCCUGUUAUUCUGCCUUCCUGUAACAAUCUCCAACAAAAGCACCCCAAAGCCGUAGACAUCUACCUUUUCUGUUAACUGACCAUGGGCUAGGUAUUCCGGAGCCAUGUAACCUCUGCAAAUUAUUUGAAUUCAUUGCUUGUUCGAAUAUUCAAGGACUUUAAUUUGCAUUUAAAGUACUGCAAGAUUUCUGGGCCAGCUAAUUGUCUUUCGAGCACUUUGGAAAUAUCUGAAAGAAAGAUACUUACAAUGUUCCUGCAAUGGCUGUGCUGAUGUGACUCUUAUCAUCUUGGAAAGACCUGGCUAACCCAAAAUCAGCAAUUUUAGCGCGAAGCCUUGAAUCUAACAAGAUAUUGCUGGCCUUUAUAUCUCUGUGAAUGAUUCUGAUACUGGAGUUCAUAUGAAGGUAGGCUAAACCUUCUGCAGUGCCAGUAAUUAUCUCAUAUCUCUUCUCCCAGGUCAGCUCCUUGCCUUUGUUCUGAUCUGCCACAUUUAGAUAUGCAAAACACCAUCAAGUUCCAUUUCAGUCAGCAUUCCAACUCCGACACAGACUUAAAACAGCGACAAUAUCAGCAAUGCAGUAAGGCAAGUAUUCUUUGUUGGUACUCUAUUGAUAGCAUUUUUGCAAUAUCAGAAUUAAGGUUUAAAUGUAGAUUUAUAGCAUUUACCGAAGAUGAAACGAUCGAGACUCCUGUUAGGCAGGAAUUCAUAGACGAGAAGGCUUUCAGGUCCAGAACAACUGCACCCCAACAACCUGACCAGAUUUUUGUGUUCCACACUACUUAUCAUGUUUACUUCAUUGUAGAAAUCCGCAGCUCUAUGUCUGUUGUUAAAGAAGAGCCUCUUCACUGCAAUCUCCCUUCCAUCAGGUAAAGCUC